UUUCAUUUUAGAUAGAAAUAUUUAUUUUGUUACAGAUUUUAAUAAAAUCAAAACAUCAAUAUCACAAUUGUUGUUGAGUGGACCAUGACUUAGAGAGGGCUUCAAUAAAUCUUAUUUUGUAAAAUUACAAAGACCAAAAAAGUCAAGACAAAGUGGUGAGCCCCCACCAAAAAAACGAAACGUUUCGAAUUAUGCUUAAGCUUAAGCUGGUCCUACUCAUACGGACCACGUAGCUCUAACCAUUUGGGGACCACACCCAACCUGGCUGCCUCGGAAGCUAUGCGUAAGGUGGGAGCCGUGUGGCCCCUCUCCUCCUCCCUCCACUCUCUUUUUGGUGCGUGUUGACCCACUUCUGCCUAAAAUCGAGGCCCACUUCUUAACACGUGCACUUCUUCAUGUGCACACGUGCUUUUUUUCCGAUCACUAAUACGCCGCCGUUUCCUUUCUUUUCUUCAGUGGUUCGAUGACCGUGCUGUUGUGGUGCUCAUGAACUGGUGAAGCUCUUGUUUCUCGUAUAUCUCUAGGGAGAAGUCUCUCAGCGUGUGCGUCGUUGUUGUUGCAAUUGACGAUGAACUACCGGUUGUUACGCCUGAGCUUGAGCUCGGAGCCAUAACCGACGUCGCUCUUGAUAAAUUCGAACCGCUAACGUCUGAAACGGAUACAAAGCCGCUGCUUGGAACAACUUGUAAAGGAGGUGGUCUAGCCAUCGUGGAAGCCUGUUGAACAGCGGCGACGUAAGACGACGGCGAAGCAGCGGCGGCGGGAAAAGCUAAUAACUGAGGCUGAUUCGACGGACCAGCGAUUUGUGGAAUCAAGAAGAAAGCUCCGACCGUCGGAAUCAUUGCGUUUGAUGGAAUAGCCCACAUCGGAUACAUUCCUUGCGGCAGAAGUUGCUGAGCCACAGUGGAUGAUGCCAGAGCUUGCGGAGGUUGGAUCGUUGUCGUCGUGGCAAUUGGAGCUAAACCGGAGGAAGCUGAAACGGCGUCGCUUAUGUCUAUAUACUCACUGUUAGAAGGUCGUUUACGUUUCUUCUUCAUCAGAUUUUCACCCAUAUCAGAAUCAGCGUUCGUCGUCGUCGGGAUUUUUAAGGUUCCGUUAACCGACAUGGCGAUGGCGGGAACCGUUCCCGUACCCGUGGCGGCUAUAAUCGCCGGCUCAGCGUUCUCCAACAACCACCGAAUCGUUUCGCCGUCGGAUUUGUGACCUAACUCUCGAGUUAAUUGAAAAAUCCUAGCCGCACACGUGGCAGGCAUCCGUAUCCUUCUCCCUCUUCCUUCAACCUUCGUGUGACGGUCUUUAGUCGAAGCUCUCUUCAAUGGUGGUCCUGUCGAAGACGGUGGAGCUAAAGACAUUGAAAACGACGGCAUCACCGGCUCCGCCUUGGGCUCGAGACUCACUGUGGGAUUUACUUGGAAAGGUCUUGAAGUUUCGACGUUUCUGACGCCGUUGAUGAUGGUUAGAUCAACGGCUCUUAGAGUUUGAUCUUUGCCUGCAACUUCUUCAAGCUUCUGAAUUGUCGCCAUUAAAAUAUAGCUGAGAGAAAACGGACGGUGGAGAUGACGACGAGAGUUGUUAAAAGCGGAUACAAUGGGAAAGAAUCGUUUUAACGGCGUUACACGUCCAAGGAGAUUACUAAAUGUGACUCGUCAGGAUAUAUAUAUAGGAGCAGGAAAACAAGUG
This is a long non-coding RNA of Arabidopsis thaliana (thale cress), 1680 nucleotides long. RefSeq annotates it as other RNA. Lineage: Eukaryota; Viridiplantae; Streptophyta; Magnoliopsida; Brassicales; Brassicaceae. The record is from RefSeq. The transcript has a single exon.